This 492-nucleotide ribosomal RNA is filed under the name uncultured bacterium. RNAcentral describes it as "partial 16S ribosomal RNA". It matches the Rfam family "Bacterial small subunit ribosomal RNA", at positions 29 to 507 of the family's 1533-position model. The record is from RNAcentral.
AGUGAGCGCUGGCGGUAGGCCUAACACAUGCAAGUCGAACGGCAGCACAGUAAGAGCUUGCUCUUACGGGUGGCGAGUGGCGGACGGGUGAGGAAUACAUCGGAAUCUACUUUUUCGUGGGGGAUAACGUAGGGAAACUUACGCUAAUACCGCAUACGACCUACGGGUGAAAGCAGGGGAUCUUCGGACCUUGCGCGAUUGAAUGAGCCGAUGUCGGAUUAGCUAGUUGGCGGGGUAAAGGCCCACCAAGGCGACGAUCCGUAGCUGGUCUGAGAGGAUGAUCAGCCACACUGGAACUGAGACACGGUCCAGACUCCUACGGGAGGCAGCAGUGGGGAAUAUUGGGCAAUGGGCGCAAGCCUGAUCCAGCCAUACCGCGUGGGUGAAGAAGGCCUUCGGGUUGUAAAGCCCUUUUGUUGGGAAAGAAAAGCAGCAGGUUAAUACCCCGCUGUUCUGACGGUACCCAAAGAAUAAGCACCGGCUAACUUCGUG